RNAcentral lists this ribosomal RNA (254 nucleotides) under uncultured bacterium. RNAcentral describes it as "partial 16S ribosomal RNA". It matches the Rfam family "Bacterial small subunit ribosomal RNA", at positions 524 to 776 of the family's 1533-position model. The record is from RNAcentral.
GACGAACCGUGCGAACGUUAUUCGGAAUCACUGGGCUUAAAGCGCGUGUAGGCGGAAGGGCACGUCUGUUGCUGAAAUCCCACGGCUCACCCGUGGAACUGCUGGGUAUACUGCGAGUCUUGAGCCACUUAGGGGCUGUCGGAACAGGCGGUGGAGCGGUGAAAUGCGUAGAUAUCGCCUGGAACGCCAAAGGUGAAAACAGACAGCUGGGAGUGUGCUGACGCUGAGACACGAAAGCCAGGGGAGCGAACGGG